ACGGGAGGCAGCAGUAGGGAAUAUUGGUCAAUGGAGGAAACUCUGAACCAGCAACACCGCGUGAAUGAUGAAGGUCUUCGGAUUGUAAAGUUCUGUGAUGGGGGACGAAAAAAAUGACGGUACCCCAAGAGCAAGCCACGGCUAACUACGUGCCAGCAGCCGCGGUAAUACGUAGGUGGCAAGCGUUGUCCGGAAUGACUGGGCGUAAAGGGUACGUAGGUGGCCAUUCAAGUUAGUAGUGAAAUCCCGGGGCUUAACUCCGGUGCUACUGCUAAGACUGUGUGGCUUGAGUGCAGGAGGGGUAAGUGGAAUUCCUAGUGUAGCGGUGGAAUGCGUAGAUAUUAGGAAGAACACCAGUGGCGAAGGCGACUUACUGGACUGUAACUGACACUGAAGUACGAAAGCGUGGGGAGCAAACAGGAUUAGAUACCCUGGUA
RNAcentral lists this ribosomal RNA (437 nucleotides) under uncultured bacterium. RNAcentral's name for it is "partial 16S ribosomal RNA". It matches the Rfam family "Bacterial small subunit ribosomal RNA", at positions 341 to 792 of the family's 1533-position model. The record is from RNAcentral.